GUCUACGGCCAUACCACCCUGAACGUGCCCGAUCUCGUCUGAUCUCAGAAGCUAAGCAGGGUCGGCCCUGGUAAGUACUUGGAUGGGAGAAAUGAAGGAGAGAAAAAGACCUUCUCAGAAAAACAAAAAUUGAGGAAA
Ribosomal RNA from Panthera pardus (leopard), 138 nucleotides. The record is from Ensembl. Lineage: Eukaryota; Metazoa; Chordata; Mammalia; Carnivora; Felidae.